GUGUGGCUCAGUGGUAGAGUGCUUGCCUGGAAUGUGUGAGGCACUGGGUUCAAUCCUCAGCAC
RNAcentral lists this transfer RNA (63 nucleotides) under Ictidomys tridecemlineatus (thirteen-lined ground squirrel). RNAcentral's name for it is "Spermophilus tridecemlineatus (thirteen-lined ground squirrel) tRNA". It matches the Rfam family "tRNA", at positions 5 to 66 of the family's 71-position model. From Rfam's summary of the family: Transfer RNA (tRNA) molecules are approximately 80 nucleotides in length. Their secondary structure includes four short double-helical elements and three loops (D, anti-codon, and T loops). The record is from Rfam by way of RNAcentral. Lineage: Eukaryota; Metazoa; Chordata; Mammalia; Rodentia; Sciuridae.